GACGAACGCUGGCGGCGUGCCUAAUACAUGCAAGUCGAACGCAUUUUCUUUCACCGUAGCUUGCUACACCGAAAGAAAAUGAGUGGCGAACGGGUGAGUAACACGUGGGUAACCUGCCCAUCAGCGGGGGAUAACACUUGGAAACAGGUGCUAAUACCGCAUAAUUCCAUUUACCGCAUGGUAGAUGGAUGAAAGGCGCUUUUGCGUCACUGAUGGAUGGACCCACGGUGCAUUAGCUAGUUGGUGGGGUAACGGCCUACCAAGGCUGCGAUGCAUAGCCGACCUGAGAGGGUGAUCGGCCACACUGGGACUGAGACACGGCCCAGACUCCUACGGGAGGCAGCAGUAGGGAAUCUUCGGCAAUGGACACAAGGCUGACCGAGCAACGCCGCGUGAGUGAAGAAGGGUUUCGGAUCGUAAAACUCUGUUGUUAGAGAAGAACAAGGAUGAGAGUGGAAAGUUCAUCCCUUGACGGUAGCUAACCAGAAAGCCACGGCUAACUACGUG
This 507-nucleotide ribosomal RNA is filed under the name uncultured bacterium. RNAcentral describes it as "partial 16S ribosomal RNA". It matches the Rfam family "Bacterial small subunit ribosomal RNA", at positions 28 to 507 of the family's 1533-position model. The record is from RNAcentral.